RNAcentral lists this ribosomal RNA (377 nucleotides) under Nectophrynoides cf. tornieri HCL-2014. RNAcentral's name for it is "partial 12S ribosomal RNA". It matches the Rfam family "Bacterial small subunit ribosomal RNA", at positions 794 to 1384 of the family's 1533-position model. Lineage: Eukaryota; Metazoa; Chordata; Amphibia; Anura; Bufonidae. The record is from RNAcentral.
GCCCCGCCGUAAACUUUUAUUUACAUCACAACCACCGGGGAACUACGAGCCAAGCUUAAAACCCAAAGGACUUGACGGUACCCCACAUCCUCCUAGAGGAGCCUGUCCUACAAUCGAUAAUCCACGUUUAACCUCACCAUUUCUAGUUAAUCAGCCUGUAUACCUCCGUCGUCAGCUUACCACGUGAGCGUUAAUUAGUGAGCCCAAUGUAUUUCACCAAGACGUCAGGUCAAGGUGCAGUAAAUGAAAUGGAAAGAGAUGGGCUACACUUUCUACUUUAGAAAAAACGAAAAACUACCUAUGAAAUCUAGUUAGAAGGCGGAUUUAGUAGUAAAAAGGAAUCAACAUGUCCAUUUUAACCCGGCACUGGGGUGUGC